UUCAUGUUCCUAGGAGUUUCUAGGAAAGUAUAUUGGAGAAAAGUAAGCUUAAAGAUGAAUACUUAAUUCUUUGUAGGAGACGUUUCUCAGGGAUGCUCUUUCCCACAGUUUCCAGAGCAAGAAGAAGCCUCCACAGGAAGCGAUAUGACCUCAGGCUAGAGGAUUAUGAUCCCUAAUCAGUAAUUUCCCAAGUAUUUAAAUUUCUCCAAACAUUACUGCAGAAGACAAUUAAAUUUGAUGAAGCAAUAUUAGAAUUCAUAAGAGUUCAUAUCUCAGAAUCAUCAUGUAUCUAUGAUCUCAUGCAACCAGGCUUGGAAUAUCAUUGCUAGCUUCAAAAGAAACCAACUAUGAGUGUGGUGUACCAAGCUUUUUAUUACUUUUUAACCCUCUACGAUGAAAAUCCUGGUUGCUUGUCAAAGAAAGGUCCAUAGUUGGUUAGGUUCUUACAUUUUGACCUAAAAAUUGUGCAACAAUUAUUUUCUAAUGAGCCGUUUACGUAUAAGACAUAUUUCUAUAAAUAAUUUAUCUUAUGAUAAACUACUUUCUUAGCCGCCAAGUGACAUAAAAGUCAGGAAGUCAAGAAAGAUAAACUUACUAUAGCUUUCUAGCGUGAUCUUUGUGCAAACCUUAGCAUGAGAAAACUUAGCCAGCCUGUAAGCCUUUAAAUCUUAUUUUAAAUAAUUGUAUACCUUCUUUUUAAGACACUGUUGCAUAAUGCGACUUUUACAAAACAUUUCUAUAUUAAUACACCAUGUUAAUGGCAACACGCGAGUGGAUUGCAAAAGCUGAGAAGACAAAGCACUAUAAUUUUCUUCUAUCUAACAUUCUUAUCAAUCAUUUUCGCUAGUGACGACCUUAAAAAACCGCUUAAUUACUGUUCAAACGUCGCACAGGCAGAUGCAAUCUCGAGCAAUAAAUCUACUCGCGGCUGGUAAUAGUUUCAUCUUUAUUGUAUUUGCUCGUUGCAUCGAAUGAGAAGGGGCAACUCGGAGAAAAAAUGUAUGAUAACCGACGUGGUGAAUAGUAAUCAGAGAUACAUUGUAAUCCUCGCUGUGAGAGUUUCAAUGUAGCUGCAGCAACUCGUACAAUUGAAAUAAAUUGAAGACAAACACUGUAGUGUUGUGCAUAUACGUAUAUAUUAAUUAUAUACAUUAUCAGUUACACAGGGUGAUUGGUAACUGGUGGUACAAGCGGAAAGGGGGUGAUUCUAAGCGAAAAAAGAAGUCGAAAAUAUAGAAUACAAAUUUUUCGUUCGAGGCUUUGUUUUCGAGAAAAUCGACUUUGAAGUUUCGCUCGGUACGCGCGCGGUACGUCAUAGCGGAUCUCACUGUAGAUCGUUGUUUCGAUGGAAAAAUUAAAAAAAAAAAAAAAUUUGUAUUCUAUAUUUUCGACUUCUUUUUUCGCGUAGAAUCACCCCCUUUCCGCUUGUACCACCAGUUACCAACCACCCUGUAUAGUAGCUAUAUUUACUAAUUAUACAGGGUGUGACCGACUAACACGUACAAGCGGGCACGAGGCUAUCCCCAUCAGCAAAAUAAGAACAAAAUAUGGAAUAAAUAAAUUGCUCGUUUAAGUCUUAGUUUAAGAGAAAAUCGAGUUUGGAAAUUGAUGAAAAAAGCGCUACAAAUCGACCACCUGGUAUACACGUAACAACGUUGUACAACUAUACGAGUACACGGUAUGUAAAUUCUCAGACUAGCCUCUCGUUUUAUUCUCCGGUGAAGGAAAUUACACUUGUCGAGAGUUCCGUUUUAAGAAUAGUCCAUGCUCAUUUGAUGCUUAUCCGAGCGAUUACAAAUUUGUAAAAUAAAACGCUACCUAGUAUGUAAUUAUAGACGAUUAGAGAAGAGGCUUGACACAACACUGUCAAAACAAUAGGGGACACAAGUGCAUAUAACGUGUAACGUUAUCGUUUAUCUCGAGACGUUCGACGUGAAAUGAAUAGCGGUGCGAUUUUUAUUUCACAAAGAUAACGACGAUAUGGUAUUGAACAAUAGAGGAGCUCAACGUUGUUACAAACUUUCCAUUCAGUGAUAAACUAUCGCUUGUUUUAAUUGAAGUAUCUUUAAUGGGCAUGUGAGAAAAUAAAAUUAAAGUCUCUUCAAUUUGAUAUCGAUAAUUUAUGUUCGAGAGGAACUCACAGAUACACAAAUGAGAAAGUAUAUAGAAUAUUUGAAGUAAAAUACUUGUGAUAUUUAUAGAAUUUAUGCUCAGAAACAUGCGCAGUCUAGUAAAAUACUGUCUAGUAAGAUAUUUAUAAAUUGUACUUGGGUUAGGUUAUGUUCACGAAAUAGGUUAUAUUCAUAAAGAUUCAUAAUCUCGACAUAGUUUUAUAAAUGGAAUUCGAGACAAAAAAAGACAUUGGCAAGAUAAUAAAUAUUUCGAACGACAUUAUCUCAUAUGUGUCUUAUAUAACAAAUACAUACUUACUCCAGAUACAAAAUCACUAUAAACAGAAGGAAAGAGAUUAAGUGGUCGAAGGAUCGAAGGAUAGUCUUUUUGUGAGGUUAUGUAGAAGGAUAGGAAAGAAGAGGACUGUUAAAACGAACUUUGGCGACUAGACUCCGUCAAGACGAUCUGACCAAAAAAAAAAGCUGAACUCUUGCGGCUUGCGUUUUACAGUUACACAAUCGCCAACUAUUUUCAACCCGGCUUCCUUCUCAGUAUUGCGAUUCGGUUCACCUAAUUUCCACCCCUUCCUUUAUUGACAAUAUUUAGUCUGAGUUGUUCGUUUCCGCUUCUCUGAUACUUUCGAUAUCUUCAAUUCUUCAAUAUUAAAUCAAUAUGUAGAUAUUCCUAGUUCUCUAAAUUUCCCCUUAGAGUAACAGUCCUUUUGUGUGAUUGGAAGUGUCGGAAUUUUGUUUUCAAUUUUGAGAAUGAUUCCCCCUUUCCAAAAUUCUCUAUAUUCAUGUAUAUCUAAACUCCCUAGAAUCUAUAUUUUGGAAUCAAAUAAAUACAUUUAUUAUUUAAUUGGUCAACGCAACAUUGCUAGAAUAUAUAGGCAUAUAUACAAUUAUACAGAUCUCGCUUUUUUCUUUUUUUCACAAAAAUAUCCACUAGAAUUUACUUCUUGCUAGUUGUAUCUUCUUACAGUGCAAGAAUAAUUAUUGGCAAUCUGAUUUUUACCACACCAAUGAGAAGCUAGCUGCGAUAGCAAAAAUGCUAUGGCGGAGAUUCUGAGGAAUUUAGUAAUACAAUAUUGGAAAGGGGGAAUCUCCUUUAAAAUUCAAAAGGAAAUAAGAAAUCGCUUUUUAACGAACUUUUUUAUUUCAUAUUACAAUUUUUAUCUUCCCAAAUCAAAGUUCUAUUUAUUCUAAUGCAGAGUUAUGAAAAUUUUCCCUAGGCUCAUCCGCAUUCCUCCCUAGACGCGUCAAACUUUUUCCAACGCCUCAGACUAUUGUACGUGAUAUUAUUUCUCUAUCGAAUCACGUCCAAUACCGACCAACAAGCAACUCUAUCCAACUCGAAGCUGCCUGGAACGUGUUCCAUUAACCGGCUCAAUUUUUCUACAUUUCUUACAUGGAUUUUCAAUCAAGGACGAGAGAAUCGCGUAUCCAAGAUCCUCUGCAACGAUCAUCGGCCCUAGAAUCACCGAUACACAUAAUAAAAGUGCGAUAUGCUUGGAUAAGGAUCGAUGAUCGAUGCGUCUAUCUAUGGAUCAUCGAUCGAUCCGCUCCUCUAUCUAGUUUUAUAGAUGUUUCUCUAUCCCCCUCGACCAAUGUCGAGUUCGUGACUUUGUAAGAGCCACGAUCUUUGCUAGUUCUAGGUUCUUCAAACUGUUCAUCAGGAACAGAUCUCUUUGAUUUCUUCGCUUUAGCUUCUUUAACCUCUUCAGCCUUGAAUACUAUUUGUUAUAUUGUUUAUAAUAUAUAUAUAUUUCCUAUUUACCUCUUAUUCUUCGUACAUGAUCUAUAAUACAUAACUGUACACUCCAGUUGCUAGCAACAAAAUACUCUAUACAGUAUAAAAUCGCUAAAUUUGGUAUCCCCUGUUCUUCUUUUGUUCUCCACGCAACUCAUAACAAAACGAAUAUCCGUGUAUUUAUGGGAGAUUUAAGUAUAGAAAAAUAUAUGAGUUGCACGCAAUAUAGGAAAAUACAUCUAAAAUAUUCAUUGCAAUAUUUGGAAUGAAAGAUAUAUGUCUCUGUAUUUAGGUUUCAUGUGUAUAAACAUAUGCAGGCGACCUACAAUGUAUAAUUGUACACGUGUUAUCUACUCGAAGUAACAUCGCCAGCUACAAACAUCGCUCGAGAGGAUGGCAAACGAUCUGUAUGGAGGCAGAGAGAUCGACUUGUGCAUUUAUAUGUAUAGCUAUCGCUGCAUCAGCGUCUCAGGGCGAAUAACGGUGCAUCCUACACGUCUGCUUUGCGUCGCAUGCAAAAUGCACUCAUGUGACGACCGAUACCCGCGACCUUGACAAAAUCGAGGAAAACCGAGCCUAAAACCGCUAUCUCUUUCUUUCUCUUUCACUCGACAUCGGUAUGUCUCGUACAAUGCUGCUACACGCAUGCGCGAACAUGGAGUCGCGUGAAUUGUACACCUUCUCUCUCUCUCUUCGUUCUUACGUAAACGGUUCAGAAACAAACGUAUUACUUAAUCGUGCGUUUCUACAUAAAUCGUGGUUGCCAACCUAAGAUUCGUAGAGUCGUACUUUCGAACGAAUUCUGUAUACAGGAAGAAGAUUUUUGAGGUUAUACAAGGUUUGUUUCGAUAGAUUAGGUAUUCAGAUAUUUAGAUUAGAUAAAUUUCGCUGAUUAGUAUUACUAACCGAUUUAUGUUAUUAUGUACAAAGAACAAUUUUCCAAUUGUAAUUUGUUUUCAAUUUGUAACGUCACGAUAUUCGCAUUCUACGAUUGUAUAUGCGAUAAUUAUCGAGGAUUUCGUUUUAAAAUUGGAAAUGGAAGUGAUUUUGGCAUUAUAAGAACAACCGUUUCGUAGAUAGGUUCGAAAAAGUAGUAGGUUUUAGAGUUCUAGAUAAACUGAUAAAUACAUGCGACGAUAAUUAUUCACGAAGCUAGGAGUGACAAUUUUCUGCAAAUAACUUCGUCUAUUAAAUCCUUUCACAUUUUGUAUUUUUAUAUUUCCUGUGUUUCCAAUAAUUUAACGGAUACAACAGAAAUAGACGACGUGUAUUAUUGAUAUAUGUGUUAGGUCGUCACGCAUGAAACUGAGACUAAACUGUACCCCGAUGUACCGCAAGACUCAUAGUUUAUUCCCGUUCAUGUUCAAGGAUUUUCUCUUUCCACUUUUACGUUUCGUUCGACAACGAUGAAUAACAGAGCGUAAGUACUUUCACGAUAUUUCGUUUUUUUUUUUUUUUUUUUUUUUUUUAAUGUUCGGCGAUUUAUUUCCAAACAAAAUGGCAUACGUAUGUAAGACAUAAAAGAAACGAAAAAUCGUGAAACAUGAUACUGACCUGUUCCCUCGAAUGGAACGCGUCAUAAAAAUCCCAUGUCUCUUAUUACGACCAGUUUUACCAAACAUGGGUCCUUCGUUCGCGUAAUAAAGCGACGAGUGACUUUCUUUGACCCUCCAGAUCGCACCGGAAGUAAUUGCUAAUCGGAAGCUUCCAGAUGUGACUUUGAAAGUUCAAAAUUCUCCUAUUCUUUAAACUUUAAUUGAUUGUAAUUUCUCAAAUACUCAGUUCCAAUUUCGUCUCUGUUCUAAUAACUGAAUAUACGCAAAAUUCAUAAUUCCUCACUUUAUCAAUUCUACUUUUUGUAAUGAAGUACAGUGGAGGACAAAAGAAAGUUCGAAAGAUAAUUCCCUAGUUCCCUAAAUAUUAAGUUAAAAUCUUAUUGGAAAUAUUCGAAAGAUUCAGAACUUUCUAUUCAUAUACAAUUGUAAUUUAAAUUAUUUUACGUGAUUCUCGUUUCAUUAGCUUCUAUUUUGACUAUAGUAGUGCCACGGCUAUUUAAGGAAGAUAUAAAUAUUCCGAUAUAAAAGUUACAAGGGAAGGAAUCUCGAACUGUUAUUGAUGUACAGGAAGGCACAGAAAUUAUUCGUACGAAGAACAGAAUCACGGAAAAGAAGUUUCACUGACUGAAAUCGCCUACGUAAUACAUUGUUUGCCAACUGUAACGUGUAUUUCGUCGCGGUCUACGUGAGCCUGAACCCUGUGCAGUUACUGUUUCCCGUUUCAUCCUCUUUGUCGCGCCAUUUUCUUUUUCUCGCGUCUGCCUGGAGAACCGAUAAUCGGAAAUCAUGCAAAUUCCACGACACACUCGCUGAAUCUACAGGCAAUAACAGUACCUCUUACAUACCGAGCGAUUAUUACCUCCUACUGUAGCAAUUUUUCGCCUUCUAUAUACAGGAUGGCCCGAUAACUGUGAUGCAAUCGACAAUUGGGUGAUUCCAUGUAAAGGAAGCUUAUGCUACCAUUUUGCAAUGACAAUCUUGUUCUUGCUACGAUUUUCAAAAUUUGUCCAAUAAACAAAUUAGAUGUAUGUUAACCAACUUUGGCCAAUUAGGUUUCCCAUUAAGCUCAAAGUACAAAUUGUUCACAAAAAUAGUUGAAACCAAAUAUCAAGCUAUCCUUCGGUCUUAUCCGAGUCGUACAGAAGUUUAAGCAUCUUUCUUUGAUAAUUAAGGCCUCGAAAGGACUAUCUUCAAAGAAGAAAUUAUUUCCACGAAGGAAAAUUACGACCAGAGAAAUAUUCAAUGUAAUUUCAGAGUAAAUCGUUAGGCAACCUAAUAGGUUAUCAAUCAUGCCGGUCAUUAAUGUAUAAUUAACGACACAGAUAAUGUUUCGCGUUUGAUCUCCAAUUACUAAUUUAAUUACCGUGUUUCCAUAAGUAAAUCGGAAUUUAAAUUGAAUCGAGCCAUUUAACAGCACCUCGUCGAAAUUUUUCAGUUUUUUCCAUCCAUAUAAGAUCAAGGUCUCUCAUUGUCGGAGAAAACAGACGUUUGCAAAGUAUUCAAGGCUUUCAGUAUAUAGACAUAUAUGACGAUUAUAAUUUCUUGCGGAACUUUCCUUUCCUUAACCCGUUUCCUGUUUUCGGGUUUCUCAAUUUCCUAUGCCAGGCCGUUCAUUAUUUCGCAGAUAAUUGAUAAACCAGUUUUUGAAUGAACAUAGCUAUCAAACAAUCGCGUAGUGGCAAGCGAACACCUUUUAGCCAAGAAAUAGUAUUUUUUUUUUUUUUUUUUUAAUCACUCACGACUUUCUCUCGCGUAUCAGUCUAUGAUUAUGAAGCGAAACCAGUAAUUUCAGGAGUCGAUGACCUUGGCACACGCAGCCCUUAUCUAAACAUAGACCGUGGAUUAGUCAUUACACUUGUGGUCUGCCACCUGUUCGUGCUGAUCUUUCUCAUUUUUCAAGGACGCUUUUAUUUCACAUCAAAGAGUAAGGUGUACGCAUGUUGUACCGAUUUUUAAUUUUUUUAAUUAAAAAAAAAACUUUUACUGAGAAUUAGUUUCAACUAAAUUGAUGACUUCAAUUUUUUAUUAGGCAUUAAUUCCAAAUAUAUCUUCGUUGCAAAACACUAUUCUUUAAAUAUCCAUUUGAAUCAGCAGAUAUUCCAAUCCAUAGAACAACCUCUAAACCGCGGAUUUUUGCACAUUUCUGUGAAAUUUGAAGCUUUGGAAGCACUCAAAAAAUGCACAUGAUAUACAAAAGUAUAAUAAUAUGUAAUAAUGUAGUAUAUAAUAUAGUAUAUAAUAUAGGCAACAACAAUAUACAGGGUGGUUGGUAACUGGUGGUACAAGCGGAAAGGGGGUGAUUCUACGCGAAAAAAGAAGUCGAAAAUAUAGAAUAAAAAUUUUUCGUUCGAGGCUUUGUUUUUGAGAAAAUCGACUUUGAAUUUUCGCUCGGUACGCGUCCACCUUAUCACGUCUCGUUAUAACCGAUCUCACUGUAGAUCGUUGUCUCGAUGGAAGAAUUAAAAAAAAAAAAUUUUUUAUUCUAUAUUUUCGACUUCUUUUUUCGCGUAGAAUCACCCCCUUUCCGCUUGUACCACCACCCAGUUACCAACCACCCUGUAUAAUAAUAAAAUACACAAAAUACGAUAGUCAUUAUAACCUCUAAUAAAAGAUGAAACAAAUUUAUGUUUAAAUUCUGUUUCUUUAAUUGUAUUGGCAAAAAUAUAAAUUGUGAAGAAAUACAAAGCAUAAAUUUGCACAAGAAUUGCAUAAAAAUCCACAGGAUAAAUUUACAUAAAAAUUGCAUAAAAAUCCACAGCCUACAAAACAUAUUAAUUUAAAAUAUCCCCAUUUAUCAUGGCCGCUGUACACAAUCUGAGGUACACAGUACACAGGUGGUUCGUCAACGAUCAUACACACAGGACAAAGUAAAUUGGCUUCCAAUGGGCAGAAAAAGGUGAAAGAUAAGCGUAUGCAAGCAGUCAUUGUACACUGCCUGAUUACGGCAUCGAUACGAGGUGCAACGCGGCCCAGAUUUUCAAAUCAAGGCCAGGAUAUUUGCUCGCAUACACAUGCACGUACGCAUACACGCCUGAGAAGCAAAAACUCGACCGACGGCGAAAGUGUCCGUGCAUCUGCAAUACCCUACGUGUUGCAAGACCAAUAGAAGCAAGAAACAAUAUAAAAAGAUGAAUGAACGUGAUGAAAACAUACAAUUCGAUAUGCACGUACAGCCUAAACUAGAUAAGAUAGCGGCUCAAAGUUACACUAACUGAUAGUCAACUGAUAUCAACUUUGUUGGUAUGCUUAUUCAAUUAUGAAAUUAGCGAUGUCAUCCAUCUCCUUGCAUAACGUAUUUAAUAUCUAACAAUUACGCCAUUAACGACCUAAUUAAUUAUCAAGGAAAGUUAUUCGAGCGUUACAGAGAUUCGUUCAGAGAGAUAUAUAUAUAUUCGGAAUUGUAGCAAGAUCCGCAAAUUUUAAUCGUAAACAGGAAACAGCCGACAAAGCUAUGAACAUAUCUUGGUAAGAUAAAAUAUUAUUAAGGUUAAUCUGCGGUUAAAAUAAUCAGUCGAUUACAAAAAUACGUAUAGGGAUUAACUCGCUAACGGCCGGGCAAUGGUUUAUCAUUUAUGUCACGAAUAUGUCCAUUUCUUUAGAUUUCAUAAAAUCAUAGAAUCUAUAUAGAAGAAAUGCUGAUGAAAAAAAAUGUAAGCUGAUCCUUGGAAUUCCCUUUCGUACCUAUAAUGUUGAAAAAACAGAAUUAGAUAACCUAAACUGAUUGAAUAACGUUGCAACUAUAUGUUGCGUUAACGCAACCUACACUCUUAAUGUUUUAAACAUUUAAUUCUUAAUGUGAAAGUGAUGUUCGAGACUGACCAUAAUAUUAAAGCAUUCGUAACCACGAUUUCUACAUUUAAUAUUAAAAGAAAUUGGAAAGCGUCUUUUUUUACUUUUAUCUGCUUAAAAAAUGACUAGAACGCUAGAAAGGAAAUAAUAACGCUAAUAAAUGUAUCGAGAAUUUACUUCUCUUCGAUAUACAUAUGAAUGUAUUGACUUCGUGUUGGACGUGUUACGAUGCGUUCGAAAUACAAAAUUCAACAUGGCGGAUAGGUAAACGCGCCUAGGGCCAUUCGACUAUUUUAUUCCGGUCGUCGGGCAGAUGGUCGGUUAUAAACUUUGCCGGCUAACGGAUUAUCCAGCAGCAAUGGUAAAAAAUAAUUUUUACACGUAACAUGGGCGUGUCACGGAAUGAACGUGACAACUGCUUGUGUUCGAUCGAAUUCUAAGAAAAUGAGAUGAGAAAAGAAAACAAUGUAAAGAGGAGAAGACUGUGUUUAGAGAAAGACAGACAAUAUUCGUGGUAGAGAGGUCAUAAACAGACUGUUUACAUACGUUCGAAAUUAUUUACGUUCAGUCACACUCUCGAAAUGUAUACGUUGUAUCUUGAUACGCUUUGUCUCCGAUUAUUUUAUAUCGUUAUCGAAAAUUUUUGUAACCUUUAAAACACGUUUCUGUUAUCUUGUAAUGAUUACAUGUGAGUCAUAUAAACUCUCAAGUUAUAGUGUAAAUUGUUACCAAUUAUUGGUAUUAUAAUUUAUUGUUUAUAUAUGUUAGACUAAAGGAAAUAAAUAAAUAAUAUUAAGUUUAGUUCUAUAUGUCGAAUUUUAUAUUGUAUUAAUUAAAGAAUAGUCAAAAUU
This is a long non-coding RNA of Bombus huntii, 10057 nucleotides long. RefSeq lists it as uncharacterized. The record is from RefSeq and is a predicted model, not a curated record. The transcript has 2 exons. Lineage: Eukaryota; Metazoa; Arthropoda; Insecta; Hymenoptera; Apidae.